UGCCUGCGGCGGCCCUCAGUGCUCACGUGAACCAGGAGCGAGGGGCAGGCCCCGUGCUGGGAGCACCACCCCGGAGGGUCCACAGGGCAGAGGCGCGGCGGGUAGCGUCGGAAGCAGCACGAGCAGAGCAGCUGGAACUGGCCACCAAACUCCGCGUAGAUGGCAUCAGCCGGGCUGCGCAGCUCGCCCUGGGCCCCGCCGCCCUGCACCGCGGCCUUCAGCCACAGCCGGGAGAGGUUGUGCUCACGCUCGAAGUUCCAGACCAGCGCCUCCUCAGGGCUCCGGGCGAAGGUACACUGGUUGUAGUGGCGCCGGCACCCGACCCCAGGCCUGUAGUAGCGGCAAACUUCAUAGCGCAAGGGCUGCGGGAAGCUGGGCCGCCGGUCCACCUUGCGCCAGACCCUGCGCUUGCAGGAUCUGGCGGGGGCAGCUGUGCUCCACCGCGCGCAGCAGGUAUGUGCUCUCGUUGAGGCGCUGGGUGCAGCGGGAGCAGCCCAGAUGCAGGUCCACCUGGGCGCACAGCCUGGCCAGAGGCGGCUCCUUGGCGGCCGUGGGGCUAGUGGGCGACGGGCCGAACCCGGGGAACACCAUCUCUGACACUGGCCUGUCUCUGCGGAGCGGCAUCUGAGGCUCAGGGGCUCAGCUGGCCCUCUGGGGCUGUUCACCCACAAUGAGAAGGCUGGGACAGAAGAGCAAGGAGCAAGGUCAGGCCCUGAGGCUGCAGGGCCUCUCGCACCCAGGUCGGAGCUCAAACACACCCUGCCUCUCCUCGGGCAAGGGGCCGAGGAAGCAGAAACAGUAAGGAGAAUUCUUCCCACACGAUGGGAGGAGAGGGUCGUUUGCUCCAAAGAGGCUGGGCCCCCUCAACCUUGACCCAGCUGAGUCUCCUCCCUUUCUGAAGUCUCUGGGCCCUGCCCAAAAGGAGCCAGCCCAGCAGCGAGUGGGAGGGGAGUGCCCCAGCAACAAGAACCCUGGGGACCGGCAGAAGCCCUGGGGGCCCGUGAACUUCCUGACCCUCCAGCCUUCUUCCUGGGGCCUGGCGUCCUAGGGCGCCUCAAGCUCCUGGUCUCCUGACUCUUCUACAGAGACAGCACCCCUGUUCUGGGAAGGACGGUUGGCCCCUGGGAGCAGUGCCCCCACAGCUGCCUGGCCCGGGGGACUGGUUUCCUCCCCAUUGGGGUGGUGCAGGAUCUGGCGGGGGCAGUGCUCCACCACGGGCAGGAGAUAGGUGCUCUCCGCCAGGCGCUGGGUGCAGCGGGAGCAGCCCAGAUGCAGGUCCACCUGGGCGCACAGCCUGGCCAGAGGCGGCUCCUUGGCGGCCGUGGGGCUAGCAGUCAACGGGCCGGACCCAGGGGACACCAUCUCUGACACUGGCCUGUCUCUUGCUGGGGCACCCCCCUCCCACUCGCUGCUGGGCUGGCUCCUUUUGGGCAGGGCCCAGAGACUCUUCAGAAA
RNAcentral lists this long non-coding RNA (1455 nucleotides) under Equus asinus (donkey). RNAcentral describes it as "lncRNA (ENSEASG00005028035.1)". Lineage: Eukaryota; Metazoa; Chordata; Mammalia; Perissodactyla; Equidae. The record is from RNAcentral.